Long non-coding RNA from Oncorhynchus nerka (sockeye salmon), 310 nucleotides. RefSeq lists it as uncharacterized. The record is from RefSeq and is a predicted model, not a curated record. Lineage: Eukaryota; Metazoa; Chordata; Actinopteri; Salmoniformes; Salmonidae. The transcript is spliced from 3 exons.
UGGAAUGGACAGAGCUUUCACUGAAAUGACUCAGGAUAGAAGAGAAGGAAUCGCAAGAGUCCUGCUGAAAUACCUGAGGAAAUCUGUGCACCUCAUCAAUGGACCAGCUUGCAGGCAGGACAUCCACGAUGACAAUGACUGGCUUGCAAUCAACCUGGGUUCAUACUCCGAGUACACAACCUAUUCGGAUCUCAAAGACUUCAACAUCUCAGGGGUGGCAGUUCUAGACUCCCUCUCACCAAACCAGAAAGCUGAAUUGAUACUGGACCCAAGCACUGGCGCUCUGGAGAAUGAGACUCUUGUGAAGAAC